Non-coding RNA from Paralichthys olivaceus (Japanese flounder), 350 nucleotides. Lineage: Eukaryota; Metazoa; Chordata; Actinopteri; Pleuronectiformes; Paralichthyidae. The record is from RefSeq and is a predicted model, not a curated record.
CGAAGGUGCGGGAGGUUCUCGGCUUGGGUAGGGGGAACCACCUCGAAGGCAGGCUGGUAACCAUCGUCCAUGGCAACGACCUGGUCAACAUCUCCUUCCUCAACUUCCAGGCGAUCCAUGAAGAUACAGCCAAGAUGUGGACGGAGGAGCUGUUCAAGCUGGCCACAAACAUACUUUCCCAGAAUGCAUCACGAAACACCUUCCUCUUCAAAGCGUACACAAAGUUAAAGUUGCAGUUGAAUCAGGAUGGGAAGAUUCCGAUGAAGAACAUUCUCAAGAUGUUUUCAGAUAAGAAGAAAGUGGAGACAGCUCUGGAGCAGUGCGGCCUCUUCAAUAGCAAAGUAAUCAUC